CCUCAGCCCUGGAGCAGUGCUUGCCACACAGUAGUUGCUCAGUAAAUGUUUGUAGAACAAAGAGAAGAGGAGACUCAAUUGGCAUCUGAAUCCAAACCGUCGCAAAAGGGAGGAAUAACAAGAACUGGGGACUUAAAUGUACCCAGGGCUCACUUCGAUCAUCUGUAUGCCAUUCUAUCUGGUGUCCCCUUCAUGCUCUCAAUGAUCCACAUAACGGCUGCCUUUGAAGCGCCAGGCUUACCUUAUCACAACUCCACAACCAGAGGGCAAGGGGUUUCUCUCUCUCAGUUCCAGGUCACAGCACCCCGGUUUUUCAGAUUCAGGAAGGAUGCUAGACACUGGGAACACUGAGCUUUGAGCUGAGGAGGAAUUUUCUAGCUGGUACCUUCCUGAAGAAAGUGAAGCACAAGCUAGACUCCUUCUCCAACAAAAAUAACCCAGAAGUUUGGUGCCUGAGGAUUGUUAAAGCCAAGGGCUACACUGGGGGAAUCAUUAUUCAGAUGCCCCAAUAAUCCAAUGCAGAUCGUGACAUCAGCGACCAAAGUAUCAAAUGAGCUGCUUACUCUAAACUAAAUCAACCUUUGAAGAUGAAAAGCUUAGAUCAGGCUGUGGAUUACUCUCAACCGAAGUUGGCAAGGAGGAAUUUUUUCCUGAUGUUCAUAAGGUUCCUUCCAUGGUAGUCACUGAGCAUCAUGAGAGCUGCUCUUGAGAAAAUCGUCAAAGCCCAGAAUGUUCCUGCAUCCCUCUUGUGGCCCAUUUUGCUUCUCACGACAGCACUCUCCUCACACAGAGGAACCCGAUGGUGUUCUCGAACCCCUUGAUUCCUAUUCAUUUGCCCUGUCUGCUACAUUUCUUUCUCAACCUCCUGCCUUUGCCACAAAGAUCAAUACUCAGGCCUGGCAAAGCUUUCAAAUGGCUCCUGGCAUGAUAAAAGGUUAGUUUUCAAAAACACAGUGUUCUCAGAAUACGAGGCCAUCAAAAUAGCUAGUUUAAUCUUGAGACACCAGGAACUAAAGAAGUGUUAUCUAUAUGACA
Molecule: long non-coding RNA, 1035 nt
Filed under: Equus caballus (horse)
Lineage: Eukaryota; Metazoa; Chordata; Mammalia; Perissodactyla; Equidae
Description: lncRNA (ENSECAG00000046182.1)
Source: RNAcentral